Molecule: ribosomal RNA, 468 nt
Filed under: uncultured bacterium
Lineage: Bacteria
Description: partial 16S ribosomal RNA
Rfam family: Bacterial small subunit ribosomal RNA
Source: RNAcentral
GACGAACGCUGGCGGCGUGCUUAACACAUGCAAGUCGAACGGAAAGGCCCUGCUUUUGUGGGGUGCUCGAGUGGCGAACGGGUGAGUAACACGUGAGUAACCUGCCCUUGACUUUGGGAUAACUUCAGGAAACUGGGGCUAAUACCGGAUAGGAGCUCCUGCUGCAUGGUGGGGGUUGGAAAGUUUCGGCGGUUGGGGAUGGACUCGCGGCUUAUCAGCUUGUUGGUGGGGUAGUGGCUUACCAAGGCUUGGACGGGUAGCCGGCCUGAGAGGGUGACCGGGCACCAUGGGACUGCGAUACGGACCAGUCUCCUACGGGAGGCAGCAGUGGAGAGUAUUGCACAGUGGGCGCGAGCCUGAUACGGCAGCGCCGCGUGCGUGAUGACGGCCUUCGGGUUAUAAACCGCUUUCGCCUGAGACGAAGCGUGAGUGACGGUAAUGGAUAAAGAAGCGCCGGCUAACUACGUG